This 35676-nucleotide long non-coding RNA is filed under the name Ananas comosus (pineapple). RNAcentral's name for it is "long non-coding RNA (ACOM_LNC015845)". The record is from RNAcentral. Lineage: Eukaryota; Viridiplantae; Streptophyta; Magnoliopsida; Poales; Bromeliaceae.
UACCACGUACCAGACAAUACAGAAAAUUCUUGAUUUGACUCGGAAAAUAUUAUUAUUAUUACAUUAUAAUUCUCAGAUUGCUUGUUUCGAACACUUUCUUAAUUUGUUCAACGGGACAAAUUCAAUUUGUCGAAUGGUGAGAGUUUCCGGCGAUGGAAUAGGCUUCCUUAAUCGCAGAGAUUUGAGUGGCAACAUCUAGCAUCGUCAUUCGGCCUCUUGGCGAUUCCGCUGAGCACAGCAGGCCAAUUUCGGCCAACGGAACAAUGCAUCUUUGCAUUCUCAGAUUCGUCAUUGCUGUCUAGACCUUCUUCCUCUUCCGAAAUCACGGGAUCCAAAACUUCGGCCAGCUUCUCCGGAAAAGCAGUUUCGACGUAUUUGCGAAGGCUGGAUCCAUCUUGGAACAAGUCACUGGUCGGUUUCUUUCCGGUCAGAAGCUCCAGCAGAAGUAUUCCGUAGCUGUAAACAUCNGACAAAAAAAAAAAAAAAAAAAAAAAAAACAACAACUCUAUAGUAAAAAAAAAAAUUGCAUGGAAAUGCUCCACUCCUGGGUUCGAACCCUGCCUACCUUUUCGUUUUAGCCCCUCUGCUAUCUUAAUAUUGCAAACCUCCAAUAGUUAACAAAUCUUGUGCAUUUCUAAAGCAAACAUGAAGUUUCAUACGAGAUGAUGAUGAAAAAAAAAAAGGAAUAUGAUGAACUUUACCUGGAGCCACAUAUCCUAUGGAUCCUUUUAGCGCAAUCAAGCUUGUUGAAUUUGUAGUCGACGUUGUAGAAUGAGACAGAGAGAGAAACCUCGCUAAGCCGAAGUCGCCGACACAAGCAUUCAUAUCAUUAUCCAGAAGAAUAUUGCUCGGCUUCAGAUCGCAAUGAACAAUAGGAGAGACAGAGUGGUGAUGCAGAUAUUUUAGAGCAAAUGCCACGUCCGCAGCUAUGUUUAGCCUUUGCUUCAGGUUCAACCUUCUAGUUUGAGGAUGCCCGGAAACGUUCGGAUGCAGCCAAUUUUCCAAGUUUCCGUUAGGCAUGUACUCGAAGAUCAGAGCUCUGAACUCGUUUCCAGCGAAAUCAAUGCUUGAGCAAGACGUAAUAACUUUGAGGAGAUUCCUGUGACGGAUGUUUCUCAAAGCUGCGCAUUCGGCGCUAAAACUCUUAACAGCCCCACUCAGAAGAAUGUUGAAAACUUUCACUGCAACGACAUUCCUCGUAAAAUCGAAUUUUGCUACAUACACGGAACCGAAACUUCCAGAACCUACCAAAUUGUCGGAAGAGAAUCCGUUUGUCGCCUUCACAAUAUCGUUGUAGGAUACCUUCUUAUUCUUGUCCUCUAAGUAUGAUGUAUCGGUACUUGUUUUGCCACUCUUCCUCAGUAGUCGCCAAAGAAUUAAUAAACACAAUAGUGAGCACAGAGCGACAGAGGAGAUUACAAUUAUCACCUUGAUCAUGUGGGGACUUGGCCUUUUCUUGGAGACAUGGUUAGGGCAUGUCGGCAAUCGCAGCAUUGGCUCGCCACCGCAGAGCUUCGCAUUUCCAACGACAGAAAAUUUACUGAUAUUGCUAAAUACGCCGUCCUUUGGCACCUCGCCUUCAAAAUCAUUGAACGACAAGUUUAGAUACAACAAAGAAUUGAAAGCCUCGAAAAACUCUGGGAUCGGUCCGGACAAUUUGUUUCGCGAGAGAUCGAGCUCCUUAAUGCCUUCCAAAUUCUUGAAAGAUUGAGGGAUGUUUCCUUGAAAGAAGUUGCCAUCCAUGCUAAGGUAAUCUAAAAGCUGGCAAUCGCCAAGCGACGGAGGAAUUUCGCCUGAUAAUUGGUUCUCAGAGAGGUCUAAGUGGACAAGGGUGACCAAGUUACUCACUUCCGCCGGUAGUGAUCCGCUGAGAGAAUUAUGAGAUAAAUCAAGGUAUUGAGAGAGAGAGGACAAGCUAACCAAUUCUCGGGGUAUUGCUCCGGAGAAGGAAUUAUAAGAAAGGUUCAACACGCCCAAAUAUCUGCAACUUCCUAUACUUGCAGGAAUGCUGCUACGAAGUUCAUUUUCUUGUAAAUAAAGCUCGUUCAGCUGAGUGAGAUUGCCGAAAGUAGAAGGGAUCGGGCCUGAUAGUCUAUUUCCGGACAAGUACAGUAUAUGCAAGUUCCGAAGGUUUCCAAUGGCGGCUGGAAUUUCUCCGGUGAAAAGGUUUUGAUCCAUGUAUAACAAUGUUAAGCCGACGAGGUUUCCUAGCUCGGCAGGAAUGCUCCCUGAUAUGCGAUUCUUCCCGAUCAGUAGCCACUCGAGCGUGGGGGAAAGAUUGCCUGCGAAACGCGGAAGCGUGCGUUCAAGUUUAUUGCUCUGUAAAAAUAAUUUCUGCAGACGGCUGCAGUUGGUCAGGGAAGCCAGGAAGUUCCAAUCAUGAGCUUGGAGCUGGUUCCAACCAAUAUCUAGGUGCGUUAGGUUCUUUAGGGAGCCAAAAUUGGAAGGGAUUAGUCCGCUGAAUGAGUUGUUUGCGAGCCGAAUUGUUUGAAGUCCGGAAGCAUUGGACAACGAAUGCGGGAUGGGCCCUUCAAACUUAUUCGUUUGUAAGAUCAAAUUCUGAAGGUUAGGAAGAGUGAGGCCCAUGUCAGGCGGCAGCAUUCCGGAGAGGCUGUUGUCUCCGACUCCAAGGUAGGUGAGCAAUGAGACAUUAUAUAAGCGAAGCGGGAUUUCUCCGGACAAGUUAUUUAAGGACAAAUCCAACUCUUGCAGGUUUGGUAAGCUGCCUAAACUGUCUGGAAUGCUUCCUCGGAGGUUAUUUUCAGCAAGGUAGAGAAAACAAAGGGAUGAGUAAUUCCCCAGUGAAGAUGGUAUGCCUCCUGACAGUUUGUUUGUCGACAAGCCCAAAUAUUCGAGGGGUGAAGGGAAAGACGACGGAGGUAAACCUCCUGUCAAACUAUUUCUAUAAAGAUUAAUGUAAACAAGGGAUGAGCUAUUGCCAAGCGGUAACGGUAUGUUGCCUGAUAGAUUGUUUAACGAGAGAUCGAGCAAAAUAAGGUUUGAGCUUAUACCUAAUAAAGAAGGGAUACUUCCAAUAAGAUUAUUAUUUGAUAAAUUGAGAUACGAAAGAGAUGAACAACGACCUAGCGAAACUGGAAUGACUCCUUCGAGCUCGUUGCUCGAUAGGUCAAGAUAAGUCAAGGACCCACCACUACCUAUAGUUGGGGGGAUAUUUCCUGUUAGAGUAUUGUUGGAGAGAUCGACGUAAUUGAUCGAUGAGGAUAUGCUUCCUAGAAGAGGAGGGAUGCCGCCCGUGAGAUUGUUAUUGCUAAGAAUGCAACAAAGUAAGGAAGGAAGAGAACAAAAACCUGCGGGGAUUUCUCCGCUGAACAUAUUGUUACUUAAACUUACAAUUUCAAGGUUCAAGCAGUGGCUCAGAUUAGAAGGAAUGGGACCGUGGAGCUUGUUGUCCCUUAGACUGAUGGUUUGCAGUAGAGAACAAUGAGACAGUGUGGAUGGGAGUUCGCCUUCGAGAGAAUUCAUGCUCAAGUUGAGGUACCAAAGUCGGGAGAGAUGGCCAAGCUCUCGAGGAAUGUGACCGUGAAGUUGGUUGUUCGGAAGGUGAAUUCUGCGAAGAAAGGUAAGGUUGGCAAUAUAGGGUGAGAUAGAGCCGAUAAUGCCGUAGGAAUCAAGAUCCAAAGAAGUGACACGAUUCGGGUGUCGCAUGCCGCAAGUGACACCGUGCCACUCGCAGCAAUGGAGCGAUUUGUUGCUCCACGAGGACAAGGCUCCUAAAGGAUCCGAUAAUUGCGAUUUAACUGUCAGGAGGGCGAGACAGUCGGCGGUGCUGUAUUGUGUGACGGCGCUAACGGCACCGACGACUGAACUACGAGAGUUUAAGGAGCUAAGGGUGGCGAGAAGAAUUAGAGAGAAUGACUGCAAUAAACUAAUUCGGAGAAGAUACGGAAGAGCCAUGUUGUAACUUAAGUGGAAGGUGGUUAAUGCUCGAUUGAUCGAUGAUUCUUAUACUAGCUUCAUAUCAAUCUGGUCUUUAUAUAGAAAUCCAACGUACAAUCUUGGCAAAUAAAUGUGUUGCAUGAAAUUAUUAUAGAUGUCGAUCCCUCCUACGCUAGUCAAGUACCUAUUCUCGCGGACUUAAGUGGAGGACUUGGUCAUUUACUCAAGUCACAAUUUUUAUUCUCCUUAUCUUUUGGGUGGGGUUGCAGGGACAAAUCCCAUAACUACCACCACAUAAUGCAUCUACACCUUUUGCUUUAUACUUCAAUUCUUUAUUCAGAAAACUGUUUGUUAGGCACCAAAUGUAAUACUUUUCACAAUAAAAAAGAGGAAAGAAAAAAGAAAAGAAAACUUAGCUUUCGACCUGCUUGAAGACUCGACCUGUUGACGGGACUCCAGAGUGAACGCAAUCUCGUUCAAACGACGACCAAAACUACUUUCGCUGGACCGAUUGUUCCUAACGUAAGUGAUAAAGAAUUUAGAGAUUGAUAUCCGAGGUUCCAAGUUCAAAUCCUAGUUGAUUCAUAUUUUCAGCUAAGUUUAUUUCUAAAUAAAAUAAACGAAACAGAUAGCAUGCUACUUAUCUAUCAAAAAAAAAAGAAAAAAAAAAAAUUUCGCUGGGAUGUUCACUUCUAUUCACAUGCUUGGGAAAAAAAUCCUAACAUUUAUACAAUAUGAGGAAUUUUUCUAUCUAUCAAUUUACGUUUUUGGGUUGGGUUCGAAUCCUUCAAAACAAAAUAUGCACAUUAUCUAGUUCUUGUUCUCGGUCCAUUCAAUUAAAAUAUGGACAGUAUCUUCUACCUUGAAUAAUCCAUCACCCAAACAAUUAUGGAAAACUUAAAAACUAUUUAUGUAGAUUAAUUUACAAGCCGUCCAAAAAAUCAGCCAACAACAAAAAUCACUAAGAGGGUGUUUGGUUGUACAAAAAAUCGUGAAAAAAAAAUUUUUUGAAAAAAAAAUUAUGAUAGGAAAAAAGUUUGAUAUUUUAUAGUGUUAUCAAAAAUUAAGUUUGAUAUUUUAUAGUAUUUGGUUUGUAGAAAAAAAAAGUUUCAGUAGUAUAUAUCAAUAUAAAGAGAAAGAGAGGGUAAAUAUCAAAAAUUAAGUUUGAUAUUUUAUAGUGUUUGGACUUCUUGCUUUUUACAAUAGUAUAUGAAUAUAGAACUUUAAAAUAAAGUAAUACAGUAUUAAAACAUAUUAAUACCGAAGUAAAAAAUAAUAUAUAAAAUUUUUAAUAGUUUCUGAAUAAGCCCUUAUAAUUAUGAGCAAUGUUACAUAUAGGUGUAAAUCUUACAUCAAAUUUAUCAAAGAAUCUCCUCUCUUCACAUCCUCAUUUUUUAAAACUAAAAAUUUGAAACGGUUGCGUUAAUACUUAAAUUUGAUGUAAAAUUUAUACCUGCUUUAUAGAUACACAAGAUAGUUAUUCUUUUCUGCAAUUAUAUAUAUGCGGUCAAAAAGCCUAGUGUCCGUGUGAAAUGCGCGGGGGGAAACGUCCUUUUCGAUGCUUAUGGCUUUGCCCUUUAUGGAUGUACGCGUUCAUAGUGGCAAAUGAAAAAAGUAAUGAGUGCCAACGCACUCAUCUUUUAAAAUUACGAAUAAACGACCGCAAGAUGUUGCACCCGUGGAAACGGCAUCUGCAUGCCCUUGCUGGUCAUGAAGUUCACACGGGAAUGCCACCUUCGAUACGAUCGAUCGCCUAUAAACGUGGUUGAUAGAAAUAAUUAAAAGCGCUGUUGUACUUUACAUAUAUAUAUGCGUCCCAAUUAAGAGCUGAGGGUAACUUCGUUCCGAAGUGGUUAUUUAACUAACUUUUUUUUUUUUGAUUAAACAGGGAUCAACCCUAUUUUAGUUAUUUAACUAACUAAAAGUCUAAAAUGCUGUCGAAGGCUUUCCUAGUCCUCUCCGUGCUCUUGCUCAUGUUGUUUGGCUGCAGCGCCUCCGCACUGGUGUCUUCCGCCUCCGCUUCCGCCUCCGCCUCCGCCUCCGCCCCCUCUCCCGCUCCAAAUGGUAUGAAUGAUCUGCCGGCAGCAGAAACCUCUUUUAUUAAUACCCUCUGCUCGUCUAUAUGCAUGCUAGCUAGCUCGCUUGUUCGGUACGCUUGAUGCAGAUACGGAUUGCGGCAAGAAGUUCAAGUGUGUGAAGGGCCGACCGCAUUCCGUGGACUCCAAUCCUGAUGGCCAUUCCUUCGGGAACCUGCCUGGUCCAUCCCCUGUUCGACAAAGUCAAUUUGCAAACGUCUACGCCCGAGAUCCUGUCCGGUGAAAACCUUUUCUAACCCCUGUUAUUCUUUACAAUACAUACAGUUAACAUCUCAAUCACUCGCCAGCCGUGUUUAUCUGUUGAGCUGCUGCUUAGUUUACGAGUUUUGGGCUUUAAUUACCAGCAUGCUUUGGAAGAAUUUGUGGAGCCAAAACGUACAGUAAGCUCCUUCCUUAUCCUUACAGGAUUAGGGUAUAUGAGAGCAGAGCUGGGUAAUCAUCACUUCUGAGCCCCAACUCUAAAUUUCAACAAACUGCCAACAACCACGGAUGGUCUGGUUGAGUAGUGAGAGAUGUGAUCGCUUGAGACGUACAAAGUGAACUGAUUACAUGGCGCAUCCACCGUGCGAUGUUGAGUUACUGGAACUCACCGGUCAGAUGGAGUGUGCUGGAUGCCUAGCUCGAUCGAUAGUUUUCAUCCAGCUAGCCAUUCAACUUUUAUAAUAAAUUUUUUAAAAAUUUUCAAAAAAACUCUCGAGUCUGGCAUGUUUUUAUGUUGAGGAGUGUUCAUAGUUUUAACCAAAAAAUAUACUUCAAGCUGAAAAUACUUAACCUGUAUGCGUUGCUUUCUUUAUUUAUUUUAGGGGCUAUCCAGGUUCUUCUCCCUACAUCAGAUCAUGACUUGUAAUACUCCAAGCUAAGGAUUCAUUUGGAAUUGCACGAAGAUUAUAGCAUAUAUAAAAAAGAAAGGACAAUGAAGAUUUUUUUUUUUCGUACCUAAUAUUAGGUUAUGCAUGUCGUAAUGCAUCGGUUACGAUGUAUGUUCUAUAGUUCUGUUGUAAAAUAAAGAAUUAUAUUUAUAUAUAUUUUUAUUCUAACUCCAUUUUGUCUAUUAAUACUAAAUGGAUCAAUUAAAAUACCAAAUGGGUUAGUCAAUAAAUUUACGUUUUUUCAGAAUUCAUAAGAUCUGGAUGGACAUGGAUAAGAGAAAGCAAUCUCUCUCUUGUGCUUUUUCACUCUGGCAGUUCUCUUUUUCAAUUCAGAGCUGUAUUUGUGAUUUGGAGUUUUGCCUUACGGUGCUGGUACCACACCCUGUUGUUAUGCAUUACCUAAAAUUUUCUAGAAAAAUAUUUUCUGAAAAGUAUUAUUCUAAUUUUUUUUCUCUUUUUUUAGAAAAAAAAAUAGCAAGUUUCGUUUAUUAGGAUAAUGAACUUGACUAAAAAAACUGAGGCAGUAAGACCUUAUAGAAACGAGGUGAAAACAAACAAGAAAAAUUGACUAUUUCUAGAGCAAGUGGCAAAACCGAUUGUGCCCUAAAACUUGAAACCCAUCAUAACUAACUUUGCAUAUUACCUCCUCCUCAUGUUUAGAUCAUUUUGCGGAAUUGGGCAUCUUUUGGGCGUUGAUUUGAUAUGUUUUUGUUUUAUUUUUGUGGUUCUGCAAGUGGCAUGAUCGAUCGCCCGAACUCUGGACUAGCUUCGAGUUUUGACAGUCAACCAAUUGUGGGCGCAAUAAACUCUAUUAUAAGGCGAUUAACUGAGCUCGGACCUUAGGUCGACCGGGAAACAACUAGAAACUGUAGACAACAUCUUCUUUGACUACUACCGAUUCUCGAUACACUAACGAAUCGUGAGUAGAAUAUUUUCUAACUCAGUUGACAAUUUUGCAAAACUUUUUGACCAUUUAGAUUGUAAUUUGGUAAAAAUGUACAAAACUUAUCUAAACUAUAAAUAAUGUUGAACCAGCUAUCAAGCCUUUCGAAAUUUUGGUUUUACCACCCAAUCUCAUUAUUUUCCAAAUUUUAUACUUAUUCCCAAAUUUUAAAUUUAAUUUAUUCAAGUAGUUAUGAUUUUUAUACAAUUAAUUCGAUGUAAAAUAAUAUAUAAUAUUAGUUUCUAUAAAAAGGGUACUAUGAUAAUUUUAUAGUUGGAUACUUUCAUUGUGGGACCCAACGUAGAGAUAAUAUAUUUUCAUAUAUGCUAAGAUAUGUACCAAAUAAAAUAUUCUCAUAGGACAGGAAUUCUAUCAUAAAAAUAGAUUUCAUGAAAAAUAAAUUUUCAAUAAAAAAUUUAAAUCUCGGGAACGCCUUUAAAAGAAAAAAGGAAAAAAAAAACCCUAGUUUUUUAUGUAUAUAUUUUUUAAAAAAGUUCACUUGUCGAACGGUGGGAAUUGUAAAAUAAAGGCAAUUGGUAGUCCAUGCUAGUCAGAUGAUAAACUAUGCAGCACCAGUGCAUAACUUCUGCCCUAUAAAAAAGUUCAGAGAGCGACAAACUUUCUUUUCUUUUCUUUUUUGAAAAAGAGGUAACAAGCUAUCUACUUCAUUCAUUAAGCAAAUAAACUAAGCAUACAAGAUGAAAACAGCUAAAACCUCCGAGGCAGUGCCAGAAAACAGUACAAGAAUAAAGCAGAAAAGAGAUUAGGUAAAAAAGGAAGAGGAGAGAGAAAGGUGAGGGAAAAAAAAAAUUUAAGAAGAAGAGCAGAAAGCUGAUGCAAUCAUCAAAGCUGUGUCCACGAUUCCAUCAGACGUAUGAUGCGCUCAAUAGCCUGGGUAGCAUUGAAAAGUUUAGUACUGAAAAUAAUGUUGUUUUUUUCCGUCCAGACAACCCACCGACUUUCUUUUCUUUUCAAUAAUGCGAGAUUGCCUGGAAACAUAAACAGCAAAAUUAUCUACAACAGAACAUUCGCCUUCGACGUAGUAUUUUAAGCAAACAAAUCAGUAGCAGCUACAAUUAAUCAAGAAACCCGGUGUUCGUUUUAUUCAUUUUCAUUCUAUUUAUUUUUUGUUUUACAGUUCCUGAGAAUUAAUUUACUGGUGUGAUUCAACCUAUUUGAUUCCACCUUUGGAAUAAGCGUCCCGGAGAGUAACAGUUCUGUUGAAAACAGGCUUCUCAGAAUUAGUAUCAGGAUCCACAGCAAAGUAACCUGGAUUUACAAAAAAAAAAAAAAAAAGGUGAAAAAUAAAGCACGUUUCGAAAUUAAACAAGUUUAUGUGAAUAAAUCAUCUCGGAGAGAAUAAGAUGGAUAAGCAAUGAAGCCAUUAAAAUGCGAGAGCACAAAAAGCUUAAAACGAAGAAAAUGGUUUGAUUGUCACACGUAAGUUCAUCUAUUUCUAUCCUAACAUUAGUCAUAGAAAUUAGCACUUUAAAACUUGAGAUUUGAUUAAGCUUUAAUUUAUAUGAAACAAAAGGAAUGAACUAAAAUUGGAGAUUACCAAGCCUUUCAAAUUGAUAUUUGUCACCUAACACAGCACUAGCAAGCGAUAGUACAGCAUAUGCUUCGUGUAUCACCUCCUUCGAAUUCGGAUUCGGAUCGGAUAGCCAAUCUUCUAGUUCAGCAGGAUUCUAAAAAGCAAUAGGACAAUUUACCAUCAGAGAACAUAUAUUUUAGAGUUCCACUCCAGAGAGUGAGAGAGAAGAAGCGAGAGAGAAGGAAAAGGAAUGAAGCAUGCUGAUACUAAUACGGACCUCUGAAAGGAACAAUUUCUCGAAUAGUCUGACUUCCACCUUCAAAGGUUCAACUCCAGGAGAAGGUUGGGCAACCCAAUGUAGAACACCCUACUUAGUUAUCAAGAAAGUCAAUAAAUACUUAUGUAUUACACCGUAGAAUUUUACUGUAUUAUACAGAAAGAAAGAAAAAUCAAUGCCUUCGGUUUUGUUUUCUUCAAAAAAUCAUACUCAGCAUGAAUUUCAAUAACACUAUUUUCGUCGUCACCAUAUAUAACAUCUGUGCACUUUAUUGGAAAGGCAUAUCUGCAAUUUCAGAAAAGAAAAAAAAUUGCACCAGUUUAUUAACUAUAUGUUAGCGACUAUUAGAGCAAGCUGUGAACUUCAUUCUUCUGAAUCACUUGCCUGAGGAGGACAGAUUUACCAGGAGCGAGGCCAUAGUAAUCUUUCGAAUCGUUUUUGCGAAAAUCCGAGCGUUCAAUGUAAAGAAUACUUGUGAAAGGAACCUAUAACAAGAGCGUGUGAAAUGUGCAUUUUGCGACCUUCAUCCAUGUAUAAAUACCUCUGAGCGAGUGUGUUAAGGAUUUGCAUGAAAGUACCUUGUAGUAGGAAGAACCAUCAUUUGAAAGAGCAGCGGGCCACUUUUUUGCAUCAACAUUUAUUAUCGAUUCAUUAUCUAGAUUUGUGAUGACAACCUGAAUGCUCAGAUCCGGCAAAUUGAUUGAAGAAACAAGCAUAAACAGUUAGUGAUAGGACAAAUGAAGUAUCAUCUAUAACUCAUCUCGAAAUACCUUUACAGGAUGCAAGACGACCGUAGUUCGAGGUGCUGUUUUGUUGAGCUCUUCUCUGAUAUAAUACUCAAGACGAUCAAUGUGUAUCAUGCUAUUAUCACUGUAAACAAUGACUAAAAGAGUAACUUUCUUAAACAAUAAAGAAAGAACGCAGUGCAUGCAGAUUGAAUGCUUUGAGACUAUUUAGAGAAUGCACAUAUCAUGUGUGCAUCCAACUUUAGUGAUUGAACUACGUAAUAUAAGCAAAAGACUGUAAACUAUAUAUAUUUUGGACUAAGUUCAAAUAGAAUAAGUAGACAAAAUAAGAAUAACUGAACAAAUCCGCAUGACUAUAGAAAAGUCAAAUGAAAUGCGAGUGAAACAAGUAACAAUUUUGACAUGAUCCACAAAAGGUUGAUUCAUCCCUCAAGAGCGGUAUAAGAAAUGUCUUGUACUUGAUUUCUCCUUCGCAAGUAUAUUCUCUCUGUUGUGGUACAGACCUGAAAUUCUAACAAAAAAUUUUGGAAAAAAUAAAAUAAUGAAUUAAAAGAUGGUGCAAAUAAAAUUUACAAGAAGCAUGAUAUCUGAUUAGUUAAGAAUACAUACCUUAUGAGUUGUAUCUCCGAUAAACACUACUCUCUGUUAAUAAAAAUUAAAUUAUUAUUUUUAAGGAUAAAAAUAUUAUAGUAUAUAGGUCAAUAUCAAAAAAAAAAAAAAAAGAAAUAGAAUUACCUUAUAAAAGAAUAAGGAACCAUACUACAAAUGCCGCAAGCGCCCCCUGUAUCCUCUGCGCCCCUCUUCAAUCUCAUGUAUCCUUCUUCCCCCAAUUAGGUAGUCUCCUUCCUGCGGAUCUACUACCUACCCAAUGAUCAAAACCUCAUGAUUUAGGUUUGAUCUUUCAGUUGGGCAACCUUGAAAAACUCCUCCAUCAUACUUAUACCAACUUUUGUCCACUCCUACCGCCGCAACAACCGGCUGCAAAUCAACUAUCUUCUCCAAACUCUUCUCAUCUAUGUCAAAGUAGCUGUGAUACCUGUCGAUGUGUGCGACAUGGUGACUCGCUAACUUACGAUUGCACUUGUCCUUGUAUCCCGUGAAAUGAUAGAUUCCCAAACGGGGAAACGGGUACCCAUCCCAACUAGUAAUUCCACUAUUAAGUAGUAUAUAAUGAAAUGCCAAUGUUGAAUUUCCAUAUUCCCCUUGGAUUGUUCAUGAAAAUACUGGUAUCGGUGCAGUCAAGUAUAAGAUAAAAAAAGACAUUACACUUUAUUUGGUCGCUCAAAUGAGAGGGGGAAGCAUCCCUUUCCUUCGGCGUGCAUAUAGAGUCGUAUCUGUCGCAUGUAUGCACAAGAUAGAUGACUUCAAGAGACAAAUCAUGACAUCAAAAGAAGAAAAACAUAUAGAUUGGCGAGAGAAAAGUGCAGUUACUCCCGUAAAAAACCAAUUUAAAUGUGGUAAAUAUAAAUUUUUUCAUCAAAUAAAUAAAAAUUACUUUAUAUUAUAUAUUUUUUUUUGGAAAAAGCAAUUUUAUCCUUUUUUUAUAUAUUUUGUUUUAUUGUAUUAUAGAUUGCUGCUGGGCAUUUGCAGCAGCAACAACAAUGGAGAGCCUUCACGCAAUUAAAAAAGAACUGAUCAACUUAUCGGUGCAGGAAAACCUAUAAGUUGAUUAGUUCUUCUUUUUUAAUUGCGUGGAGGCUCUCCAUUGCUGUUGCUGUUGCAAAUGCCCAGCAGCAAUCUAUAAUACAAUAAAACAAAAUAUAAAAAAAAAGAUAAAAUUAUUUUUUUUAAAAAAAAAAUAAUAUAAAGUCGUUUUUAUCUAUUUGAUGAAAAAAUUUGUACUUACCACAUUUAAAUUAGUUUUUUACGGGAAUAGCUGCGUCUUUCUCUCGCCAAUCUAUAUGUUUUUCUUCUUUUGGUGUCAUGAUUUGUCUCUUGAAGUCAUCCAUCUUGCGCAUACAUGCGACAGAUACGACUCUACAUGCACGCCGAAGGAAAGGGAUGCUUCCCCCUCUCAGUCAAGCGACCAAAUAAAGUGUAAUAUCUUUUUUUUAUCUUAUACUCGACUGCACCGAUACCGGUAUUCUCAUGAACAAUCCAAGCGGAGAAUAUGAGAAUUCAUCAUUGGCAUUUCAUUAUAUACUACUUAAUGGUGGAAUUACUAGUUGGGAUGGGUACCCGUUUCCCCCUUUGGGAAUCUAUCAUUUCACAGAAUACAAGGGCAAAAGGGCAAGUGCAAUCGUAAGUUAGCGAGUCACCAUGUCGCACACAUCGACAGGUAUCGCAGGUACUUUGACAUAGAUGAGAAAAGUCUGUAGAAGAUAGUUGAUUUGCUGCCGGUUGUCGCGGCGGUAGGAGUGGACAAAAGUUGGUAUAAGUAUGAUGGAGGAGUUUUUCAAGGUUACCCAACUGAAAAAUCAAACCUAAAUCAUGAGGUUUUGAUCGUUGAGUAGGGAGUAGAUCCGCAGGAAGGAGACUACCUAAUUGGGGGAAGAAGGAUACAUGAGACUACUUAAUUGGGGGAAGAAGGAUACAUGAGAUUGAAGAGGGGCGCAGAGUAUACAGGGGGCGCUUGCGGCAUUUGUAGUAUGGUUCCUUAUCCUUUUAUAAGGUAAUCUAUUUCUUUUCUUUUUUUUUAUAUUGAUCUAUAUACUAUAAUAUUUUUAUCCUUAAAAAUAAUAAUUUAAUUUUUAUUAACAGAAAGUAGUGUUUAUCGGAGAUACAACUCAUAAAGUAUGUAUUCUUAACUAAUCAGAUAUCAUACUUCUUAUAAAUUUUAGUUGCACCAUCUUUUAGUUAAUAAAAAUUAAAUUAUUAUUUUUAAGGAUAAAAAUAUUAUAGUAUAUAGAUCAAUAUAAAAAAAAAGAAAAGAAANAUCUUGAGGGAUGAAUCAACCUUUUGUGGAUCAUGUCAAAAUUGUUACUUAUUUCACUCGCAUUUCAUUUGACUUUUCUAUAGUCAUGCGGAUUUGUUCAGUUAUUCUUAUUUUGUCUACUUAUUCUAUUUGAACUUAGUCCAAAAUAUAUGUAGUUUACAGUCUUUUGCUUAUAUUACGUAGUUCAAUCACUAAAGUUGGAUGCACACAUGAUUUGUGCAUUCUCUAAAUAGUCUCAAAGCAUUCAAUCUGCAUGCACUGCGUUUUUCAGAAUCGUUGGGUUUCUGAAUCAAUGCAUUCUCUCUUCAAAUUGAUAUCUGACUGUAAAUAUUGCAUUCUUCCAACGGGAUGCCCGUUUUCCUCCCAAUCAAAUAUCUGAGUUCUCUCACAGUGUCACUUAAGCUAACACGAACUAUAAGCCUCUUUCCAUUUAAUAGCCGGAUAAAUAUUUGAACCUGUAAAACUUAAUAGAUUUAUUACUAUUCCCCAAAAAGAAUUGCUCAAAAAUUUAUUAAAAAUUUGAAACUAAGACAAAAAAAAAAAAUACUGUGCACAAAAGAAAGUCAUAAAAAAAUUUGUUAAAUAUUUGAAAUCAUUGAAUGUUUUUAAUUUUUCAAUUUUCCUAUUUUUUAUUUUUUUCCAAAAUACUUUCAAUUUUAACUUAAAAAUAACUUUAGUUUAAAUUCAGUUUUUAAAUUAAAAUUUUAGUUUUAAUUAUAUGUUAAAUUUAAUAUAAAAUUAAAUUUACUGAAUUUAAACUUUGAAUUCAAAUUUUGACUAAAUUUGAAUUUAGAUUUAAAUUUUAUAUUCGAAUUUUUAAUUUAAAUUUAGAUAUUGUAUUCAAACUUCUAAAUUCAAAUUUGCUUUUCAAGAUGGAAAUCAUGGUCAAAUUAAGAUUUUGUAUUCGAAUUUUUUAAUUCAAUAGAUCCAAAGUUUGAAUUUAAUUUUUAAUUUUAGAUUCAACUUUUAAACUCAAAUUCCAUUUUUCUAUUAGAAUUUAAAUUCAAUUUUAAAUUCAAAUUUAGAUUUAAAUAAAAUUUCAAGUUUAAAUUCAUAUUUAAAUUUUGAACUUGAAUUUUAAAUUUAAAUUUACAUUUUGAAUUCGAUUUCAAAGUUGUUCCACUUUUUUUUUGUGUUUGGAUAUGAAGAGAGGAAUAACCCUUUAUUCCCCACCGCCCCAACCCCCACAUGUAUCAAACAAUGAUGAAACAACAUAGGAAAUUCAUAAAUCAACAACAUUAGACCGUAUAAGCCAGUUUUGAUUAACCUCCAUCAACAUUCGUAAAUCCAUCUUUGAACUCGAUCUGUGCAACGGAAACUUAAGAGUUUCUGCUCAUAUUGAUGUUAGACCGUAGCUUUACUUUCACAGUUAAUUAAGCUCAAACCAUUUGCAGCCGCAAUUCAUGGCUGUUAGAAAGCAAACACUAAUUAUGAGCGAAGCACAGUAUGAACAGUGCGUUGUAGUUUAAGUAGCUGGAGAGAUUCCAUAAAAGUUUGAGACCUUCAAUACACUAGACAUAUAUUAUUUGAACUCAUAUUCACUUGUUUAUUAAAUAACUGGUUGAUCUCGAGCCUAUAUACUAAUAGUCAUAACUGUAAAGAACUACUAUUACCUAAAGCCCGAGUGGCUUGAAUGUAGGGUCAAGGCGUUGCUUCCCAGGACUCAGAUGCACCAAAAUAACCCGUUAGUAAAUAAAAAAAAAAAAGAUUUGAAGUUGACGGAUCAAUUUCAAUAGAACUUAUAAAUGAAGAGUUCUGUGAAAACCCUUGUUGCUAUUUUUAGUCCUUUUUUUUAAAAUUUUCCUCCUUAUCUUUUUAACCCUAGCCAUUCUAUUUACUCCUUAAAUUUUUCUUUUGAACAAAUUUUACUUGACUAGGUAAAAGUAAUUAGAAUACGAGUUUUCUAUAAUGGGAGGUUCAUGGUUUGUCUAUAGGUUGUUUACUAAAGUUCAUAAAAAAAUAUGCAUACGGGUAUCCAUACCUGAUUUAGACCUGACCUGUACCCGAUCCAUAUCCGAUCUUAAGUGGGUAGUAUACGGGUAGUCAUUACCCAAAUCCGCUCAAAUAGACCCGAUGGGUAUAUUAUUAACUUAAGUAUCCGGACCCAAAUCUAACCAGAAACUAAGUGGGUAGGGUAUAUAUAUUUUUAUAUAUUUUUCUAUCCAUCUCUUUUUAGGGUACGGAUACAAUAUAUCAACUAUCCAGACCCAACCUGAUAGAAUUUACAGUGCGGGUUGGAAUAAAUAAGCAAAGAGCAUUAUUGGGCUAUGAGCUCCUACAUUCCCUUCAUUCUUUUUCUACUUUUUGUUCUUAUUGGAUCCUACUGUACGACGUAGAUGAAGUGUUGUCUAAACAGUACUUCUGGAAGAAGCAUUAUAUUAAAAUAGGAUUUUGCAGGCUCGAGAGGAUGCUCGAUGCCCUAAGGACUCUGGCAAAGAUAGUGUUGGAUUGUGUCCCGAUCAGACGGGGGUUGAGCGGAAAGGUUUACAGGGUUUGGUUCAGGAGGCUCGGAUCGAUGAGAUGAGAAAGUUGGAUGCAAUGCUGAAGAGCGUGGAAGGGGGCAGCGAUAUCCCUUCUUGAUAGCUUUUUCAUUAUACCACCAUUUGCGGUGCAUGUGCACAUCUAUUGUGACCAUACCCGAACCCUACCCAGACCCAAAUCAUACUUGAAUUUCAAAAUUUUAAACCCCAAUAGUCCCACCUCAUUCUUAAAAGCAGAAAGUUUGUUGAAAUUAUAUAUGCUCAUGUAAACAAGAUACUAUGUAUACAUGAUACCCUGUAGCUUACCUGUGGCAGUAUGGAAGGAUGAGAUCUGAGAAUCUUCGCUGUGUUCGCAUUAAGAAACUCAAGUGCAUGUUCGGCAACAACAGUAUCUGCAAACUCUCUGCAAGCCAAAAAGAAAUCAUCACGCAACAAUUACAUGAGGUACUUAUAUUUUCAUCCCAUACUAACACAAGGAUCCGGUACAUUUCAAUAUUGCAAUCUUAAAACAUACAAGGAUGGUUCAGAGUAAAACAAACAAAGUAUGAUGCCUAAAAAGAAGCAAAUGUAUGUGUUCCUUCUAAUUCGUCGAAUAUAGUAGUUGUUGUGUUUGUCAAUGACUGAAAACUACAUCCAUCUAGAAUCAUUUCUAUUCUUACAGGUUGUAACAAAAACGCAAAAUAUUAACAUGCUAAUGAUGCACUACUAUCAGCAUACAUAAGAAAUCCUUUACCUACUCAGGCAUGACCGAAAGAAGGCGCUUAGACUAGCAUCAGCAUCAUGCAGAACCACUUCUCGAAAAUCAAGGAAAAAUUGGAGGACAGUCUGAAAAGAAGAAGAUGCAGCAAGUAUUAGCAGUUUCCACUAUAUUAAUGAAAAAUAACCAGAUAAUAGGUCAACAAUGUAUUGACCUUCUGUGAAAUGUCCAGCAGUUUCAAUGAAGUUUCUUCCGUCAAAAUGCCCAUUAGUUCAGAUAGAAAUUGUCAAAUCAGCACCAAGCUUUACCAUAUGGCAAUUUUGGUCAAAGUUGAUGAGCCCUUUGACGGAUCACACUUUAUUGAAACAACUAAUAAGCAUUAGAUACUUAGUUAUGAAGAUUAAGAGGUCAGGAACCAAAGUUAAUGGAGAAGAACAAACUAAAAACUACUUCUACAAACCAAAAAAAAAAAGUAACUAGACUAUACUCAGCAGUAGGGAGCAAAAAUCAAGCCAAAUUGCAGGAAUUCUAAAAAAGACAAGAAAAUACCGAUCAAGACAACAAAUCCUAAGCUAAAAGGAAAAUAACAAACUAAACUACACUAUGAUGAUGAUCCACUCAGGAGAAUAAAAUUACAACAACAAAUCCCAAUCAAAACAACAAAUAUAGAUCUUCUUAUGGCGAAUCGGCUAAUUCGCACCAGGAGAAGAACGCCAUUGGAGGUCAGCGACUGGGGAAGCGCAGAGACGCAUCGCUGGAAGAGCUUGUUCAUAUGGGGGUAAGCUCGAGCCACCAACUCCUCCGACCCCGAUUCCUUACAAAUCUCGUAGAUCUUCCUCACCCUCAAUCACAUAAGCCCCAGAACGAAACCCUGGAUCAAACUUUUUGCCCAAAAAGGAGAACGAAUUCAAAGGGGAAAAGCAUACGGAUUGGAGGAGGUAAGGAUCCGAGGCGGGGUCGCUCGCGGCGGAGGAGUCCCUCGAUUUGGCGGAGAGGAAUCGGAGAUGGAAUUCCCAUUCGCCUCCUCAACCGAGCGUCGUCGUUGUCGUCGCCAUGGGCGCGAGCUCUCUUUCUCUGUCUCGGUCCCGCUCUCUCUCUCUUUCCCCCUCCUCUUAAAUGGCAAGGUUCGGAAAUGGGAGCUAUUGCGGUCGCGAAAGGAUCAAGCGUCGAACAGUGUAGCUACAGCCCUUAGACAUUUGUUAUUUUACAGUUUAAAUGCACUAAAUGCUCACUCACGUCUCGUUUGAAGUUUGAACUACUGCUAAUUCUUAGAGACGGAAGAAGGAAAGAAUCGGUCAGAGUUUUUGAGGUGGCCGUACCAUUGCAUGGCCGAAAUGGGCGUCCGUCCGGGCAUAGCAGCUGCGCAUUAAUGCAAAAAAAGUUUGCCUGCACUUUGUCUGUUGGAAUAUGAAAUCUGUUUCAUCAAAUGCAGAGGGGAUUGGAAGAUGAAGGGAUGGAUGAGGAAAGGUCUGUUGCUAAUGUGGUAAACCAUGUUCAGACCCCCCCCCCGGAAGCAUAUCUGGCCCUCCUGCCUCCACUACCCAGGAUAAAGUAUUGCAUGAGGUUGGUGCACGCCCACAAGUGAUUCAACGGUAAGGAUUGACCUUAAGGGUGCUGGAUGGGCGGGCCUCGUACAUUCAUGGAUACACCCGAUGCACACUAAUUACUCCAGUCGGGAUCACGCAUCGCCUCCCGUACAACGGCCCGCAUACGCGUCUUAUUGGAAAGGAAACGUGCUCCAAAAUUCGAAAACUUUAAAAAUAUGAUAAAUAAUAAUAAUUUACAAAUAAAACAAAAGAGGAAUUUACUUUUUAAAAACGAAAAAUUAUAAUGGCUGCACUUAGCUUGUAUAGGAGACGGGGCAAUAAAUAUAUUAUAAAAUUUAUUUUUAAACUUAAAUAUUUAAUAUUUAAGAAAAUUUCUAAAAUUCCUAAAAUAAUGCCUACAUUAGUGAAAAAUUAAUAAUUAAAUUUGAAAUAUCAAUCAAUACCUUAAAUUAAUGCUUAAAUUAAUAUAAAAUUAAUGCCUAAAUUUGAAAUAUUAAUCAGAAGUUUCUUUAAAUUUUGCCUAGUUUAGUUACGAACAUACCCUCGGCAUGAAAUAACUUUUUAACCUGCUACUCUUCGUUAAUUAACGGUUAAGAUCUUUUUAAUUUUUUAUAAAAUAAAAUACCAAAUCAUUUCUCAGAAUAGUUGAAUAUAUUAUCUACUAUUAAACCUUUAAUUCUUUCUAGUUAACUAUCUCACUGCAAUUGUGAUCAAAUUCCAUAACUAAUUAUAACUCGUGACAGUGAUCGAUCAUUUGUCUCUUAAAAUUUUACUUUUAUCAAGCUUAUAUUUUGAAUGCGCUGAUAAACUUAAAAAUUUCCUAUAUAACUAUGACUUAUUAAGCAAAAACAAACUAAAAAUGGGAAGCCAGAAAGUAAAUUAAAGUAGAAUAAAAGUUUAUAUAAUAUUUUAUUUUUAAGGUUUGGAUGACUAGAUAGUUGUGCCAAAGUUUUGAUCAAUCCGAAGUUUUUUCUAUUUUUCCCUUUAGAGAGAAGAGUGUGCCGUACUGUACUUUGGCCAGCAUGGCAGACACUGCCCCAUGAAAGGGCACCUCGAAAAGACAAUUAACUUUCACGUAGAUUAAAUAAGAAAGAGAUAUCCUUGCUUUGAAUUGUAUUAUGUUUCUAAAGUUGUUUCACCACAGGAUCCCAUGAGGUUAAUUCCUUCAUUUGGACUUUUUUUAAAACUAAAAUUCUUUUAGUGGUUCUUCUACAGGUUGACUGCAAGCACUUCACCUCGUCCUCCAAAGUGCGUUGCUGGAUCUACCAUCAUCUUUUGGUUGAAAUUCUACAAUUUUUUUAUCCAAAAAUUAAUCGCAUUUUACUGAUCGUUUCUUGCUCAAGUGCAUUGCUGGAUCUUCACCUCGUCCUCCAAAGUGCAUCGCUGGAUCUUCACCAAGAACUAAUCUCCCUGGCUUCGAAAUCUGCCUAUCUCAAACUUCACUUUUUUCAUUUCUUGUUAUUUGAUGCACACCAGGGUGUUUUACUAGAGUUUUCAGUUUUGAAUUCUGCAGCACUUCCAAACUUUCUCAUCUGAACCUGCCUCUAGUGACACCUGAUCUUACUGAAACAAUCAGACAUGCUGUAUCAUCCAAUAAAAACCUUCCUUGGCUCCCCACCUAUGACAUUAUUGCAGUCUUUCAAGUAGUCAUUUUCAUGUAUAUGAAGUGCAGCUGCAUGCCACUGAUGACACCGCCAACGAGACCACAUUAAGACUAACAGAGAGUUUUCACAGUGAUUUUCUAGGAUGAAGCUUGUGAUUGAAAUGCUAUAACCUACAAUGCAAAAGACAAAAGAGAAAUAGAUAAGAUGCAUUUAAAACAAAACCAUGCAUAGACAAAAACCAUAUACCAGCCAUUGACUAACAACUGGAACUUGUAGUCAACUUAAUUUCUUCAACAGGCACCACUUGAAUAUUCCUUAAUUCGUAAAACCAGCAAAAACACUUUAUCCCGGAGGACACUUAAAAAUACAUUGAACAUCCAUUUGCAAGUAAUUUUUCAAUCAGUCCGUUGAGCCGGCCAUGCGUGGCUACACAUAAGCUAUAUUACAGUCUAAAAAUAGAAAAAGUAGAAAACUAAACUUUAUAACAAUAGGCUACAAACAAAAAGAAAAAUAAAAAAAAGAAGCACUAAGUAGACAACAAACUCAAAACAACUAACCUCAUCCCUUGCAACCUGCAACUGCAAUGGACAAACACAUGUUGCUCUAGGAGCUCGGGAGAUGGCUAUGCAGAGCAAGUCGAUCAGGUUCCAUAUAAGCUGCAAAUAAGACAUACUCUAUAUUUAAGGGAGGGAUACCAGAAAGUGAAAAGAAAUCACCAUAUGCAAUAAGAUCAAUACCUGCAAAAGAAACAAUUCCAAGAAGAGAAGGCGCAAGGCUCUAUCGAAAGCACAGGGCUCUUCCUACACUUCUCUCCACAGAAUACUAUGGCCAGAAACUCUUCUGAAUUCACAUGCAUAAGCCAGCAGUUAGUAACUAAAAGAAAUCGAAUAUGUAGAGUAGAAAACAUUAAACAAAAGAAGCACAAUAAGAAUAACAGAACAAAUCCCCAUGACUAUAGGAAAGUUAAAUGAGAUGCAAGUGAAAACAAGUAACAAUUUUGACAUGAUAGAUUACUCCAGAAAAUGUCGAUGCGUCCCUCUCCUCGGAAGAUACGUAUAGAAAAUUUUUAAAAAGAGAGCAAGUUAAAGAGUCAUCCUUGUGAUGCUAUCAUAGUGUAACCAAACAGAGGUUAUAACAAACUUUGCAAACAAGCCAUCUUCCUUCCGUCAAACCUUCAAAUUUGAGCUCAGGUUGCUUGUGAAGGAGAAGCCAAGCAGAAGAAAGCUUGCUGGAUAACUUAUUGGGCUCGUUGAGUAUUUAAAUAUAUCCUCUUUUCUUGUACAAACCUAAAAGUCUGACAGAAAGUUUGUGGGAAAAAGAAUAAUGACAAAAGAUGGUGCAAAUAUUAUUUACAAAAAACAAAACUUACUUUUGGUUGAUAUUACCGUAGCAUUGCAAAGUGACAAAUUGAUAAACCAUCAUGCUCUCAUUUAUGUUACACAAUAUUAAAAGACAACAUGAAAGAACUAGUUUCAGCAUGACUUCAUUGCGUUCAAAAGGCUCUCUCAGUCUCUCAAACACCAAGCAUCCGGAUGGACCGUGCAGAUUUUCUACGUCCCUUCUCCAGUUCUGCCCAGUAAGAUAAACGAUGCAACAUUCAACAACAAGCUUGAAAGAAGAAGACUAAUGAUGCAUCCAAACAUCUGUUAGAUAAUUGUUGAUCUAAUAAAUAAAAUUAAUUCUCAUAGAACUAAUUAAAAUAAUGUACUGAUAACAUCUUUCACCACAACUGCACAGGGUUCCAUCUUUCACCAGAACUGCACUGGGUUCCAUCUUUCACCAGAACUGCACUGGAUUCCAACAAACUUGGAGAACACUCAGCAGACAAUGCAUCAGCAGGAUAGGAAAUAAGAAAGAGGUUUAUCUUGACUAUAUAAAAGACGACGCCGAUACAAAACUUGACUCUCAGCACUCACCGAUCUUCUUUGUGACGCUCCAUUUAGCAAGAGCAACAAGGGAUGAAGUUUAUACAGUCCUAUCAAAGAUAUAGCACACAUUACUAGCAGGCUUAUUAUCAGUCACAACUAGCUAAAGAGAAUCUCCCAUCUUUAAUCAACUUACUCCUGAUUUGAAAUUUUCGUGUCGAAAUAACAUAAUUUUGUGCUUGGUAGUGCCUGCAAAACUCCGAAACACUAUGAAGGUCCCCUUGUCUGGUGCCACAAGGAUGGUGGUGGUAACUACAACCAGAGAAGCAUCAGCCCAUUACUUCCCCUCUAGCAGCUGGCUCCAUGACUUUACAACAUUGGAGGAGGGGACUUCAAAGUGAUUUGGGGAUAUUUGAGUCUCCAAAGCACAGAAACAGGUGCUUUUGGUAAUUUAACGAGCAAAUAAUGAGAUCGAUGUUAGAACUAAAAUUAAUAAGCCACAAAUUUGGGUAGGCGUUUAUUAGAGAAAACCCGAACGUCAAUAGUUAGAUAGAUUAGAUUACUCCACAGAGAGUACAAGAACGCCACCAAACUUACUCAACAACGAGAAUAGCAAAAGGUUAGUAGUACCUAGAUUACUCGAUAGAGAAUUUCAUCACACCACUAAGAUUGCUCAACAACGAGUUUUCAUCACACGACUAAGAUUAGUAGACGCCGCAACUAUUACAGCAUAAAUGUCUUCUAGGUACCUAAUAAUGUACCAAGCCGCUAGUAAGAGCAACACCGCUGCAGGGAUUAUUUGUGCCUUGGUGUUCUAGUAAGGGCCGCCGCAGCCGAAAGAAGUCAAAUCUUCGGACGGCCCGGCAUAUCGCAAGGCUUCCCUCUCCCUGGCAUAUCGCAAGGCUUCCUUCUCCCUUUCCUCCUCCCGCAUCUUCUCAUAGACCCAGGGGGGAAACAAUUUUGGGCGACACAUGGCAUCAAGCUCCUCAGGAGAGAGAUCGGAGAACUGGUUCAGCCCGAAAGUGUAACCUUUCUUCUUUGCGUUGUGCCUUUCACACUCCUCCACUGUCUUCUUGAAGAUCUCGAAACGCCGCUCCUCCUCCUCAGCGUCUGCAUAUCUACGCUCAAACUCCACCAUCCAUUUUUUGUGCAUACAGCGGAGCUCUGCGUCAUCCUUCAUGGUGAUCUUCUCCAUAUCUGGCAUCGCCUUGCGGGUGAUUCUUUCAUCCAGGGCUUUCCAAAAGGUCGACAUAAUAACCCCUGAAAGAAACAAACAUAAUGGCAGAGUACAUCAUGCAGUGUCUUAGGGGGCAGAAAAAAGUUUCAAAAGAAAGGGGGGGAAAGAGAUAUGAAAAAUGUACAUUAAAUGAUUGGAAGACAUCAUGCAUGCAAUACAUAUGAUUUACUCAUAAAUCCAAAUGCCAUUGCCUAGAAUUAAUCUGGAAGACAAAACGCACAGAUUCAAAUAGAAAUCAUUAUAGAGAAGGAAAAACAGGAUGGAGCUCAAUCCAUCGAGCCCAUCAUCUGCAACAAAUCAAAGUCGCAAUACAUAUCCGAUCCAUGCAGGAAGGACAGAACUGUAAAUCUGAUAAACCAUCAAGAAGAAUGACGGAAUACAUGUUAUAUAGUUCUAUCAGACAAAACCUAGGGCAGAUAAUCGAAACGACUCCAAUAUUUUGACUUAAAACCAAAGGAAAGCGACGAGAUAAAGUUGCUUCGUGCUUCGUGUAGGAAAAACAAUAACGCGAUUGCAACGCAGAAGGACAGAUGAAACAGACACUUAGAACCUUUGUUAAAAAAAUUUUAGAAGAGGACUAUUGCACUAAAAACCCCAGCGAGAGCGCUGCGCGAACGACGAGCUUCUUCUAGGCUUGGAGUCCUCAAGAUGUCGGAGGGGGAGGUUUAUUUGCCCUUGUUGCCUCUAUGGCUGCAACCGGGUCGGAUUUGGGUCGGAUCAUACUGCGCCCAAGUCCGGCCCAAGAAAUUAAAUUUUGCUUUGUGGGUCGGGCUUUCAUCCGAUUUUUUUUAAAAAAAAUUAAGAUCUGUAUAAAUAAAGAUUAAAUUCAAAAAUUUUAAAAAGAAGGGCCAUAUUAUUUUAUUUUUUUUUUUGGAAAAAAGCUGGAUAAGGCAUUACCUCAUUUUUCUUUUUUUCUGGGCUAAAUUAUACACAGCCACAUUUCACUGCAGUUUUUUUUUUUAAAAAAAAAAACUAAAUUUUCAUUACCAAAAAAUGGCAAGAAGCCAAACAAAACAGAAUACCAAAGUAUAGGCUUUCAAAGCAGAGUUCAAAAGAAAAUACAUCUUUGUCAGAAAACACAUAUGUGUCAGUGAAAAAGUAAAAAAGCUCUAUAUCCUUAUCCAACAUGUGACAGAACUCUGGAUGUCGAUUUGUAUUAGUAAAUAAAGAAGAUUGAGGCAAGUUAGCUCUGGUAACUAGCCAAUCGGCUACCAUGUUUGCGACACAUUUCACUACAGUUUAAGUACAUGAAGGAACUGUUUAAAAGUAAUUCUGCAAUAUUCAUUUUAUUUUAGAAGCUUAAUUUUAGUUAAAAGUUAUAGAGUAUUUGGCUGAGUUAAUAAACAAAUAUUCUAAAAUAAUUUUCUAAAGUCGUGUGUUUUUUUCUCUUUGCACAUAAUUUUUUUCUAAAUUUUAUUAAAAAAUAAAAUGUAAAAUAUGAAAUUUAAUUUUAACAUUAGUGGAAAACUAUUAGGUGUGCCGGCUAGAACUACCAUCUUAACAUGAUCUUCACCAAUAAUUAAUUUCGCUGUCUUUGAAAUCUGCAAAUCUCAAACUCCAAUCCUUUCAUUUCUCGUCGUUUGAUGCAUACCAUCGUGUUUUACUGACGGCGUAUUUGUUUGGGUAGAACUAGAGAAUCGUAAAGUUAUUUGCAACCAUAAAUGAUCGGUUUCUUUCAUUGAUUCGUCGUGACAACAAUGCAGCCAAAACUCUAGUUAACCAAAAUAACAUAAUUAAGUUCCGCACGCAUGAAGCCAAUUAUCAUGAAGAAAGUUGAAGAAAAUUAAUAAAAUAAUAUAAUAGAUAAUGCUAGCUAUAUUGAAAUAUUUCUAAUUAUUUUUGAGAGAAAGAUAGUACGCUACACGCUCUCACUUAGUUAAUUCGUGAAUAAUUUACGAAUUUUUGAAGAAGCAAGUAAAACAGUUGCAUCCCAUUUUUUUCGAAAAAUUCGGAAAAAAAUUGUAUUUUUUUGAUCAAAAAUAAUUAUUCGCGAAUAGUUCGCCAAAAAACCGUCGCCGCCAUGGCAAUGGCGUCCAAGCCUCUUCGCGCCGCCGCCGCCUACUCCGAUUCCGUUUGGUCCCGCCUCUUCACGUACCAUCUCUCUCUCUCUCUCUCUCUCUCUCUCUCUCUCAUGCACACACACUCUCUUUCACGCACGCACGCACGCGUGCGCCCGCACGCACAGAGAUGAAAUGGUUGAUUCAAUAAUGUGUUGUUCAAUAUGAUGUGCCGCCGCCGCCAUCUCCGCCGCUGCCGAGAGAGAGAGAAGGAAUGAGAACGGAGAGAGAGUAGGAGUGAGCUUUGUUAAAAAUGUUUUGUCUCCUCCCCUCUCGCGGAAAAAUUCUAGAAUGCAAUGAGUAUAUUGAUGACGUGGUGUAAUAAGCUAAUCAAAUAUUUUUUUAAAAAAAUAUAUGUCCCAUCAUAAUUAUAAAAAAUAUUUUUAUUAUACUUUUAUUUAAAAAAAAGAGAUAUGAUUGAUUUGUUAUUAAUAAUAUGGUGCAAGUGUGAUAGUAUAGAAUUCCUCCCUCUCGAGAGUAUAUAAGUAACGCUGCUCUGAUGAUGUGAUCACAUGAUGUAUCCUCGGACAUCAACAUCCUGAUUGUAGCCCACGUGUCCCGUAUUGUUUGAUUUUGGUACGACAGAUUUGAUGGACGGGUGAGAUUUGAUCGAGAGGGCUAAUCAGUUAACGGGGUCGUAUUCGGGAAGGUUGUUGAUUCGGGUCAAUUUUUGGUGAUUUUAAUGUAAGUUGGUGGUUUGGGUUUGGCCGAUGCAGUGCACCAGCAACUUGGGCCCCAAGCAAACAUGGGCAAGCACCUUAUGCAAUGGUCUAUUUCUUCUCCUAUAUGGAUUCUGCCUGCAACCAUUAUAGCUCCAUAUCUAGUACUAUAAAAAUUUAUAACAAUUCGCACUUUGAACUUGUGAGAAAUUUAAAUAACCCGAUAGCAAACUAUCCUUUUUGUUUAUUAUGUUAAGAUGAGAUGAAUUUAACAUUGUUGGUGAAGAUAGCAAAGGCCUGCAAGAACCCAUCCAUAAUGCCGUCUUUAUUCUCGAGAGUUUAUUGCUCGGACGUGUUGUUUGAUACAACACGUUGGUCAUGCAUCAUUCAACGAUCCCCAAGCCUUAUUAUUAGUAUUUUUAUUUUUUUUUUCGAGAGAUAGGUAGCACGCUACCCGUUUCGUUUAUUUCAUUAUAGAAAUAAACUUAGUUAGAAAUAUGAAUCAACUAGGAUUCAAAUUUGGGUUUCGGGUACCAACCACCAAGUCCUUUGCCACUUGCUCUAGGGCCGGUCGGUCAAGCCUUAUUAUUAUCGAAGUUGACACGCAGGGCAUGAAAAUGUAAAUCAAAUUUAUGUAGAUGUAGAUGUAUCAUACAGUAUUUAUAUUUUCCACAUAUUAUUGGCAAUCAGAAAUUGGGCCAAAGUGAAGGCCGAGAGAGUCCGGCUUCGGAUUCUGGGCAAGUGUCAAAAGUUUCGGCGGAAGAUCGGUUUAAAGCCCAUUAUCAAGGAAGGCAUCAAUGGCUGAAUUUGAUCGUGGGCAGUCCAAUUCCAAUACCCAUAACGACCCAAUGUACGGCCCAAUUGAGCUAGAAUCGGAUUUAACCAAACCUGGUCGGAGCCCCGCUAUUCGAUUUGUACGUGUCCGUCGACUCAAGGCGCGUGACACUGUGGCCUCACUGCUCGAACCUGGUUCACCACCUUGGAUAUAGACCACUCACUACUUUCCUACUAUGAAGUAUGAAGGAAAAUAGAAGAAAAAAGAAAAUUCUAUUACUUGAAUAACAAGGUCUACGUAUAAGGUGAUGGACGUGGUCCAGGAUAUUAUUUCCUCCCGAAAUGGAGAAGGUACAGAACAAGGUGCAAAAAUCAUUUCAUCUCCCAUCUCUUCCUCUUCCCCUUCUGCGCGGCUUUCCCCUUCAAUUGGGGGUGGAAUGCGAUCGAUCCCUAGGGCUUCGUAUAAUAUUAUUUAUAUUAUAUUAUUAAUAAUAUAUAAAUAAUAUUUAAUAUUAAUUUUUUUAUUUUUAGAUUAUAACUAUUCCAUUAAUACUUACUAAACUCUAGACAUUUAUUGAUAAAAAAGUUAAUAAUAAAUAUUAUUUUCAUAUUAUAAAUAAUAUUUAGGCCACUAUAUAUAAUAUAAUAUUUAGUUUAAUUUAUUAAAAGGAGAAUAAUAUGGUAACUGUUUUAAAGAAUUAAGUAGUUUCUUUUUCUGUGAAGCUCUUAUUUUCUCCAUAUCCAGGCUUCCUGUUUUUUGAGUACUCAUCCGAAGAUAUUGUUCACGUACGAUUGUAUUUUCGUAUCCUUCCAAUAGAAGACACUAUGUAAAGAAAUCACAAUUAAAGAUCAAAAUAUGUGUAGGCUGUGAAUUGCGUCCACGUAAGUAUAUUGCAAUAAAUAAGAACAUAUGAAUGAUCUAGAAUUUUACAUUUUAAUUAUUUUAUAAUUUAAAUUCAACUUUCUAAAACAAAAUAAAUCUCAUAUAAGUUGUUGAUCAAAAUAAUUCAACUACUUAAAUGAAGCAUAGAAAGCUUCUAAAUUGUAAAAAUCUACAUAUACUCCCUUUGUAGAGGCGUACAUCUUAUACCUCAAGGAUCUAAAGAUUGAUACAAUAUCUUUAGAUUUUAGUACAAAAUAAUAAUAAUAAUAAUAAGAUAAGUGGGUGAACAUGCAUGAACUAUAAGGAGGUUCUAGGUCUAAACUUUAGCCCUACUUGUAAGAUGUAUGGGUUGGAUUGCUCGAGUAUUAAAAGUUAUGGUGAAAAAUAUGAAAAUAAAUAGAGGCUUACUUUAAUUAGUUCUGACUUCUCGAGAUUUAUUUUAAUGCUUGUCUGGAUCUCAAGCAAUUGUAAAUAUUCUAUAAAAAAAAAAUUUUAAAAAAUCGCUCUAUUCCUAAGAACUAGACAGCCUUUAUGUUCAGUACAAGAGAUAAAAAGAGAAUAAAAAAUUUAUUCUCUUUAUUCUUCCAAACAGUACUAAAAAUUACUAUUCUCCUAUUAACGGAUUAUUUUAGAAUAAUUUUUUAAGAAAGGAGAAUAGAAGAGAAUAGUACUUUCAUCUAUUGGGUAAAGCAAACUAUUCUCUAUCUUAUUAUUCUCCUAAUUAAGUUAUAAAUAAUUAUUUAAAAUACAAUUAAUUAAUAAUUAACUAAUUAAUAAUUCAACUUAUUAAAUUAAUAAAUAUUUAAAUAAUUAUUUAUUUAUUAUUAAUAAUUAAUUAUUUAAAUAAUUAGCCAUUUGAUACUCUUAUUCAUUCAUUAACUAGUAUUCAAUAUUUUAAUUUAUCUAAUUAAUAUAUUAACUAAAAUAUAUAAAUAAAUAAAUAAUAUUAUCAUAUUGAUUUAUUUUUUAUAGUUAUUUACUAAUCAAUGUCAUUCUUCAUCAUCGAGCUCAUAUACUGUUUCUAAUUAAUUAAUUUAUUAACUUGUUAAAAUAUUAUUUUACUAAUAUUUAAAUACUUAUUAUUUAGAUAAAUUUUUUUUAUUUUUAAUUAUAAUUAUUCUUAUUUUUAUUAUUCCAAUCCAAUCAUCCAAACCUAAUUUUUCUUAUUUCUUUAAAUAUUUUCAUUUUCGUCUAAACAUAAAAUUGACCCAAUUUCCGUCCAUCUAGAAUUAUACCUAUUUUGAGAAUAUACAAGAAUAACUUAUUCUCAAAUCAAAAGAUAAUAUUCUAUUAAGUGGGUACAAAUGUAAGUUACAACUUACAAACGCCAUCUAUUUGGCUUUGCAGUAGCCUUUUAUUCUAUUUUAUCCAUUAAUUAUAUUUCCAACCUAUAUUAGUCAUAAUCCCGAGUUAGCGGUACACAGACUCAGGCUUUUAGUGAAGGAGUGAGAUUUUCUACGUAACUAGUUUUUUUUUUUUUUUUUUCUGGCUAGUAUAGUUUUCUUUUGUUCCCGGUGCCUAGUUGCCCCACACAUGUAGUUAAAUUCAUCUUUCCAAUAAAUAAAGCGGGCUACCUCUUUCUCAAAAAAAAAUAUAUAUAUUCCCAGCCUACAUAAUUUUAUUAUUAUUAUUACUAUUAUAUUCGUAUUUUGUAGCAGUAGAACGUAAGGAGAGGUGAUUUUCGAUCCGUGCAAUUCUUCUUUGUUUUUUUUUUUUUCUUUUCCCAAAUUAAUCAGCUACAGCCGUGGGCACCGAACCCAAUCCUUUGAUUGGAGAUAUCAUACACGACGGUGAACUUCCUCUGCUGCGUGUUUCCGAUGAUGCUCACUUCGUCGGCUUUCGUGUUGCCUGCAAAUGCUAAACAAGCCUGCGAUGGGCCGCCGUAAAUUAUCCCGUCGAACCCCAAAUUUAGGCUCGCCCCGCCGUCGAACACCAGCGCCACCGCCGGCACCUUUAUCUUCCCGCGCCCGCUCACGUCGUAACACGUGUCCAGUAUCGACAGUGCCGGCGCCGCUGUAUAGUUCGUCAUGUGCUGGCGGAACACGGCGCGCAUCGCAGAGUACGCGGCCUGCGGCAGUCUGGUGAUCACCGUCCCGGAGUCCAUCACCGUCCCGGCCGCCGACAACACCGUCUGGCUUAUAUCUAGUUUCAUGCCUCCGACUUUGAUCGCCACCAGUUUUACGUAGUACGAUGAUGAAUCGCUUGCGUAGCUUAUCAUUGGGGUGUAUUGUACGUUCGGCGGUAACGGGCCGCCGCUGCCAAUCGACAGGUAGCCUGUUGAGCUCGAGAGUGACGGGAGGCAGUAGGAGAAGACCGCACCGUACUUUUGCGACGCCUGUGAAAUCAGCGAGGACUUCUCGCGGCCUAAACCGAUCAGACCGGCGGUCCGACCAAUGACUCCGCUGCUGCUGUCACUGCAACCAAACAUAAAGUUUGGCAGCAAGUCGGAGGGACUCAGAGUCAGCGUGUCGCUGCCGAAGUUCCCCGUGGACGUGGAGUUGUCACUGUAUUUGACAUCGUAGCGGCACUUCCCGUAGGCAGAGCAGCUGUGCGAGUCAAGUUGCGUGCACUCAUCCGAGCUGCAGCUGAUGCUGCUGUAUGUGGAUGAUUUGGCUGGGUCGAAGAGCGGGUCCUUUUGUGGGUAACAAUGGUUGCAGGGGUUGCAUUGGAUCCAGGAGAUGUCGCUGCCGGUGUCGAAGACAACGGAGAAGUCCUGUUUAGGAGUUCCGAUGCCCACAUUCACGAUGUAGUUGCCGGUACUAAGUAAGUUGCCGGUGUGGGCAGGGAUCGACACGUCCAGCAAGCCACCUUUGCCCGCGACAUUGGAUGCGGUAGAAAGACGAUGGUGGAGCGAGUCGACUCGAGCUCGGUCAUUGUCAAUGAUUUGCUCGUGCGACAGUUUUUCCUCCAUCUGGAGCGGUGAGCACGGUCCAUACCGAUGGACGACCGUCAGCCUCGACAGAUUUGAAUCUGAGGGAACCAAGGAACAUGUUUUAAUUGUACUGUAUAGAAGGGAGCUGAUAUUAACAAAUCAGCUUUUGUAACUUAAGGAGAGAUGCUUUGAUAUUUUAUAUUGGAGAGGUGCUCAAACUCAUAAAAUCUUAUAGUUCUUAUUCAAAACAAAAAACUUUAGCAAUGAUGUCAACGAAAAACUCAAACUCAUACGUUUUGAUUUAUUCGAUUAUAUUCCAAUGGUAUUAAUUUCUUAAUAUCUAUAUAGCACUAUUCGACACAUAUAAAUAAUAAAAUUCAAACUUAUAAUUCUAAUACUUUGUAGUUUGGCUCUCUUAAUUAAUAUUGUAGAUAAUAUUAUUAAACUAGUUUUUUGCUAAACCAAACCGUUAUGAGGUUGGGAAUUGGAGCCCUUACACUGACUUAAAAUUUGGGGUGUUUGCCAUUAGCUUCAAAGUAAUGUAUAUUUUCUGAAUUGUAUAGAAUAUGGACAAACAAAAAAAAAAAAGAAAAAAAGAAAAAGAAAAAGAAAAAGAAAAAAAUUGGACGAUGCAAUUGGUGCGCGUAAGGAUGAUUGAAACUGUGUUGAGAACCUCAAAGGUAUAGUAUUUUGAAAUAGGCCCUCAACAUUUUGCCAUUUGCCCCUAGUAACUUCUAUAUUUUUCUUUUUUUGGAUCAUUCCAGUUUGGCAGGUUAAAACAAUAUUAAAUUUUAGAAAACAAAAAUUGGAAAAUAAAUUACGGUGACAUAUAUAUAGAAGGAGCGUCAUUUCUACCUUUAGACGAGGAACAAACUGCGCUAGGCUGCAACGAUCGCAUUUUGACCACAUAUUCAGCAUCUAAUUUUACACCAAAUACACAUAAACAGCAAGAAAGAGUACAUAACAAAAGAAGAACACAACAAUUAAAAAUACUAUCCGAGAAAAGAGCCAUGUUGGAAAAGGAACUUAUUUAUGAAUAACAAACUUGAGGCGUAUGUGUGGUAGCGAGGAGGCUUAAGGGGCGUAUAUAUGCUUAUAUAGGAUGGUUGAUCCUCUCAGUAUUAAUCCGUACGUUGUAGACUUUCACCUCUCUUGACAGAGAAAUUAAGUAUUUCCUGUUACAGUUCUUAUAUAUAAUAUUUACAAUUUUUAAAUAUCAAAUAUCUUCAUCCACAUGUUGCUUCCAAUGGGACUCUUCCUCAUCAACUUAGGGCUUGUUUGUUUCAUCGAAACUAGACUUUAAGUUGAGGUGAAUUUUAGAUUGAAUUGGAAUUUGGUAAAAAUUAUUUUUUUUUCGCUGUUUGUUUCAUAACUAUGAAAAUGAAGUUUUAUUAGUUGUGCUGUUUGUUUAAUAGAAAGUGUAUGAUAUAAAAUUAUAAUUUAUAUAUAAAUAAUAAAUAUUUUAAUAAAUAAAAAUAAUAUAAUUAUAUUUUUAUAUAAUUAAAAUUUUAUUUAAAACAACAAGAUUAUUUUUUUAUACAUAAAUUAUAGUAAUUAUAAAGUAAAAAAUAUUAAUACUUAAUUAAUCAAUUUUUAUUAUAUUUUAAUUAUACAAACUAAAUAAAAAAAAUAUUCAAACUUAACUAAUCAAUUUUUAUCAUAUUUUAAAUAUACCAGCCGAAUAAAAGAGUAAUUACUAAUAUAAUUAAAUAUAUUUAAAUAUAAUUAUCUCUAUCUAUUGUAUUAUUUUAUUAUUUUUUCUUCACAUCUCUCCACCGUAAUUGACUUUGGCCUAAAUCGAAGUAAAUUACGCCGUUUGAAGUUAACUCGAGUUUCGACCGUAACUUUUUUACGGCAAACCAAACAAUAGAAAUGACUGUUUAUGGCAAAAACGACAUUUCUCAUCUCCACUUCCACCCCACUUCCACUCAAAUAAAUAGGCUCUUAGCCACCAUAUAAUUUAGUUGAAAAGACAUAUUUUAUGCAUGUUGCCAGGAAGAUUUUUUUUUUUUUUUGUCUUGGACGACCCAAGUCUUCCAUCGUGGGAAGGAGGACGCCACAAUCUAAAAAAGCCAUGCCAAGAAAAGGAUUUUAUGGAUGACACGCUAGCUAGGGAGGAAUAUGACUGGAGGAGACUCAGGAGUGCGUGCUUCAUGCGAAGAGAGUGAUCCUUCGUACUUCACACGUUGUAGAUUUUUGGUCUCCCACUAGUGACCACACAAAUUGUGUCUUGGGCAAUUAAUAUUUGUGGUUUGCAACGUUUUAGUAGGACUGACAAUUAAUCAAGCUCACUAACUGCAAGCCAGUUUAUGUUUGACUCAAAAUGAUCUAGAAAUUAAUUGCCUCGUUUUAAUAAACGAGCCGAAUAUAAGUUGAAAAUUUUAAUUAGUUCGAAAUCAUAACAAGUCGAAUACGAACUAGAUGCACUCAUGUUCGGCUCAAUGUGUGUGUAUAAAUUUUAAUUAGAUAAAGAUUUUAAUUUUCUAAUUAUUUAACUUUUGAUCCAGUAGUAUGGUUAAGAAUAACAAUCUAACUUGUGUUGGCAAGAUAAAGAUUUUAAUUUUUUUUUUAAAAAAAAACACUUUUCAUGCAUUAGUAUGACUAACGAUCUAACUUGUGUUUGUGAGCCGGUUCAUAUUUGGCUCGUUAAUAAUAACGAGCCAAGUUGGACUUUUCAGCUUGAUUUUUUUUAAUGAACUAACUCGCUUACGGCUCGAUUAAUAAAUAAACGAAUACGAUCCGAUCUCAGCUCACUCAUGUUCGGCUCGUUGAUAAUUGACAGCCCUACUUUGCUCCGUUGAUGUAGUCAUAUAAAAUACGUGUAUAAAAUAAAAAAGUUUUAUAUACAACAAGAGAUACAUGGAAAAAAAUCUUUUCUAAGUGAAAAUAAUUUACUAUUCAGAAAAAAAUUGUGAUUAUAGAAAUCUUAACGCGUUUUAGAUAUAUAGAAUUGUCUCAUGAAACUUUUCAAAACUAAUAUCUAGUAAUACUUGUCGAACCAAAAAAAACGUAAAAUUCUAAGAGUGAGACUACUAUGCUAUUAGAAGCACGGAGCCUUUCGUGCUUCCAGCUCGCUUUUAAUGUUGCGACUUUCGAAUCGUCGAUCGGCUCCGUUAAACUUGAUCUAGAGUAUUUGAAGUACCUGGAAAAUAAAUUUUAUGCUUUUAUGAUAUCAUUUGCCUAGUGAACGAAGGGGCUCAAAAUCAACGGUUGAAAAUAAAAAUCUUACAAAAUAUAAUAAUAUGACAUUAAAAUUUUAAAUCAAAGAUAUUGAUCUUGUUUUAUAUAGUAUAAAGAAUUUUCUAUCAAAAUUUCACGUGAUUUCGAUAUUUCUACACCGUUAAACUUGCAAACGGCUCACUACGGCCAUUGAAAUUUGUUGAUUUUGAGCCCAUUCGAUCACUAGGCAAAUGAUAUCGAAAAAUAAUAAAAUUUAUUUUCUAGGUACUCCAAAUACUCUAGAUCAAGUUUAACGGAGCCGAUCGACGAUUCGAAAGUCGCAACAUCGAAAACGAGCUGGAAGCACGGAAGGCUCCGUGCUUCCGAUAGCAUACUAGCCUCACUCAAAUUCUAAUCCAAUUUGCAUUCAUACAAGGCAAUUGAGUUAAUUUCUUUUGACCAAAUUUGAUCUGGUUCAUUUUUUUUUUAUGUAUUCUAACGCCAGAUCGUCUGCACCAUCUUUUUCUUUGAUGAAGUUUUGGUAAAUAUCUGUAUAAUAUGGGUGAUAAUCUAGCUUGUUGUUCGCGAGCCAACUCGUGUUCGGCUCGAAAUGAGCUCAAGAUUGAAUCGCUCAAUUAGUAAACGAGUCAAACACGAACUGAAUUUUUCAACUAAUUUAAUAAACGAGCCGAACACGAGCUAGGGUCAGUUCACUCCUGUUCGGCUCAAUAACAAAUCGAAUACAUAUAUUCUAUAUUUAUAUAAUUUAUUUAAUUUAUAUUUAUAUAUAUUUAUAUAUAUAAAUAAAUAAUUAUAUAUAAAAUAUAUUUUUUAUUAUUAUUUGAUUUUUAGCAAAAAAAAAAAAAAAAGAAGCCGAGCUCAAUUAUAAAAAAAAACUCAUUUAUACGUAAAGUAUCAAAUAUUAGAUUAAAAUUUAAUGGGUAAGAUUUUAUAAAUUUAUUUUUAUAUAUAUCUAAUUUAAUUUAUUUAACUUAUUGUUUGUUAGUCAACUCGUGAGUCAAUUUAUGUUCGGCCCGUUUAUUAACGAGCUGAACACAAUCUGAAUUUUUCGGCUCGAUACUUUAAUAAGUCAGUUCGUGUUCAAGCCGAACACGAGCCGGCUUAAGCUCGCUCGUCUUUGGCUCGUUGAUCCUACUGUAUAGUAUUGAAUAGUUUGUACUCUGUAGAAACAUUUAUUCGGACAACAAAAAGAAUAUAAAUUAUUUUUAUUUGCUAGAAAUUAGAAAAUAUUGUGACUAUGCUCACUUUUUGAACUAAAAUACAGUUGUACCUUAGGAUACUUUCGACUAUAAUAGUUUCGGAAUUAUAAUUUUAUUUGACCAGUGCUGGCCGGAGUGCGUUAAACAUCGCAAGGACAAACGUAGAUCCUUCUCACUCGCUAGAAGACUUACAGUAGAUGAUUUGAAAGAUAAAGCAACUUUUCUAGAAUACAAUGUAUUAAAUAUGAUUAAUUACGUACAAAGUAAUGCAAUUUCUUUUAAAUAAAAUAAUAUCUAUUGCAUUCAUUAGAUUAACAAACUCAACGACAUUUCUAUAAUCAAGUCUCAACUUCGAAUUCUACUUGAUUUACAUUUCUAGCUAAGUUUAUUUCUAAUUGAAAUAAACAAAACAGAUAGCGUGCUAUCUAUCUCUUAAAAAGAAAAAAAAAAAAAAAACUCAACGACAAAAUCUGAACAAAAUUUGGGAAGAAAAGAAACCGAUUUUUCCUUAAAAAAGUGAAGGUGAUAUGAUGAGUCGACUUAGCCAAUCCGUGAACAGACUGCUCACAAUCUUUUUAUGCAUAAUAUUUAUUUGACGAUAAAAAAUAAAAUCUUAAAAACCUAAAGUAUAAUUAUUUUUAUUUUUAAAUUUUUUAUAAAUAAGUUAUUAUCUAUUAUUUAGUUGGAUGUAUUAAUAAUAAUAAAAAAAAAUCUUCUUUUAGCUCGUUAACUUAGAUAGAAUUAAUAUUUAAAAAAAAACAAAAUAUGACAGUGAUGCUAAACGAGACCUAAAUUAGUUAGUUAUUGUGCAAAAAUAAAAUGAAUUUUUUUAAUUAUCACGUACUAGACAACAAAGAAAAUUCUUUAUUUGACUCAGAAAAUAUUAUUACAUUAUGAUUCUUACAAUCAGGUCUUGAUGGCAAACAUCAUUAGAAAGUUUAGAUCGCAUGUUUCGGACACUUUCUUAAUUUGUUGGACGGUGAGAGAUUUCGGCGAAGGAAUAGGCUCGUUUAAUCGCAGAGAUUUGAGUGGCAGCAUCUAGCAUCGUCAUCCGGUCUUUCGGCGAUUCCACUGAGCACAGUAGGCCAAUUUCGACCAAGAGAACAAUGCAUCUCUGCAUUCUCAAAUUGGCAGAAGCUCCGUCUUCUUCCGAUUCGUCAUUGCUGUGGAGACCUUCUUCCUCUUCCGAAAUCACAGGAUCCAGAACUUCGGCCAGCUUCUCCGGAAAAGCCGUUUCGACGUAUUUGCGAAGGCUUAAUCCAUCUUGGAACAAGCCGCUGGUCGGUUUCUUUCCGGUCAGAAGCUCCAGCAGAAGUAUUCCGUAGCUGUAAACGUCUCCUUGCGUGGAGAUUCGGCUCCCCGUCCCGUAUUCUGCAUUCAUUGAC